Molecule: ribosomal RNA, 492 nt
Filed under: uncultured bacterium
Lineage: Bacteria
Description: partial 16S ribosomal RNA
Rfam family: Bacterial small subunit ribosomal RNA
Source: RNAcentral
AGUGAACGCUGGCGGUAGGCCUAACACAUGCAAGUCGAACGGCAGCACAGUAAGAGCUUGCUCUUACGGGUGGCGAGUGGCGGACGGGUGAGGAAUACAUCUGAAUCUACUUUUUCGUGGGGGAGAACGUAGGGAAACUUACGCUAAUACGGCAUACGACCUACGGGUGAAAGCAGGGGAUCUUCGUACCUUGCGCGAUUGAAUGAGCCGAUGUCGGAUUAGCUAGUUGGCGGGGUAAAGGCCCACCAAGGCGACGAUCCGUAGCUGGUCUGAGAGCAUGAUCAGCCAGACUGGAACUGAGACACGGUCCAGACUCCUACGGGAGGCAGCAGCGGGGAAUAUUGGACAAUGGGCGCAAGCCUGAUCCAGCCAUACCGCGUGGGUGAAGAAGGCCUUCGGGUUGUAAAGCCCUUUUGUUGGGAAAGAAAAGAAGCAGGUUAAUACCCCGCUGUUCUGACGGUACCCAAAGAAUAAGCACCGGCUAACUUCGUG